Bufo bufo (common toad) is the source of this 145-nucleotide long non-coding RNA. RefSeq lists it as uncharacterized. The record is from RefSeq and is a predicted model, not a curated record. Lineage: Eukaryota; Metazoa; Chordata; Amphibia; Anura; Bufonidae. The transcript is spliced from 3 exons.
AUUUUGAUUCGUGCGGGGGUUGUCCGGGUUCAGAGCUGAACCCGGACAUACCCUUAUUUUCUCCCAGGCAGCCCCCCUGAGCCUAGCAUCGGAGGAUCUCAUGCUUCGAUGCACUCCCUUGCACUGCGCUAAAUCGCACAGGGCA